UGCAAGUCGAACGGUAACAGGUCUUCGGACGCUGACGAGUGGCGAACGGGUGAGUAAUACAUCGGAACGUGCCCAGUCGUGGGGGAUAACUACUCGAAAGAGUAGCUAAUACCGCAUACGAUCUGAGGAUGAAAGCGGGGGACCUUCGGGCCUCGCGCGAUUGGAGCGGCCGAUGGCAGAUUAGGUAGUUGGUGGGAUAAAAGCUUACCAAGCCGACGAUCUGUAGCUGGUCUGAGAGGACGACCAGCCACACUGGGACUGAGACACGGCCCAGACUCCUACGGGAGGCAGCAGUGGGGAAUUUUGGACAAUGGGCGAAAGCCUGAUCCAGCAAUGCCGCGUGCAGGAUGAAGGCCUUCGGGUUGUAAACUGCUUUUGUACGGAACGAAAAAGCUUCUCCUAAUACGAGAGGCCCAUGACGGUACCGUAAGAAUAAGCACCGGCUAACUACGUGCCAGCAGCCGCGGUAAUACGUAGGGUGCGAGCGUUAAUCGGAAUUACUGGGCGUAAAGCGUGCGCAGGCGGUUAUGUAAGACAGAUGUGAAAUCCCCGGGCUCAACCUGGGAACUGCAUUUGUGACUGCAUGGCUAGAGUACGGUAGAGGGGGAUGGAAUUCCGCGUGUAGCAGUGAAAUGCGUAGAUAUGCGGAGGAACACCGAUGGCGAAGGCAAUCCCCUGGACCUGUACUGACGCUCAUG
RNAcentral lists this ribosomal RNA (698 nucleotides) under Delftia sp. Its description in RNAcentral is "bacterial SSU rRNA". It matches the Rfam family "Bacterial small subunit ribosomal RNA", at positions 56 to 751 of the family's 1533-position model. The record is from RNAcentral. Lineage: Bacteria; Pseudomonadati; Pseudomonadota; Betaproteobacteria; Burkholderiales; Comamonadaceae.